RNAcentral lists this transfer RNA (73 nucleotides) under Candidatus Woesearchaeota archaeon. RNAcentral's name for it is "tRNA-Gln". It matches the Rfam family "tRNA". From Rfam's summary of the family: Transfer RNA (tRNA) molecules are approximately 80 nucleotides in length. Their secondary structure includes four short double-helical elements and three loops (D, anti-codon, and T loops). The record is from RNAcentral. Lineage: Archaea; Nanobdellati; Candidatus Woesearchaeota.
AGCUCCCUAGUGUAGUGGCCAAUCAUCUCAGGUUCUGGUCCUGAGGACCUCGGUUCAAAUCCGGGGGGAGCUA